AACGUAUCACCAUAUUUGAUACAAACUGAGUGCUGUGAUGAGCCGAGCAUGGGAGUGAUCCUUUGCUGAUUGCAGCUGCUGGAAGACUUCAAGGAAAAGGUGGACCAACUCUCCUGUGUCAUUGUAUUUGCAGAGCAGCAACUAUACCUCCAUUCCUCUUCUGAACUUAAUCAAUUUAAAGGAAACAAACCGACGAAGAAUUUUACUUUUGAUGGAAAUGAAGAAUGUUUGGAGUUCUUGUUAAGUUUCAAUAGCUUUAAGUUAAAUUCAACUUCACGUUAACUUUAGAGAUCUGCAAAUCUCAAACUUAUGUAUAAAGAGUCCAAUGCAGAUCCUGACAGUUUUCCUCGGAGACUGUCCUCUGACACUUGCUGGAGUCUGGGAUCCUUCCAUAUCGAGAUUCUGACAUCUCUACACAAGGCUUCUAAAGUCUCUGCGGAGGGAAAGAGAGCUAGAGGAUUACAUAGGAUGGAUUUUGGCUACAGACUUAGAGGUGGCUUCAUUACUUCCACAGACAUUCCAUUGAUUAAAAACUAAAUCACCUUUCCAAUGCUAACUUUAAGUUUUCCAACCUCUUCCUCUAGGGCAAUAAGUUCAUUGGACAUGUGAUCUGCCUCUCAAGUUACAUAGCAGGCAACAGUUCUACAAAGAAUUUUUCUAAUGCAUAACGUGCACAGCCAUCUUUCCACCCUCUUACAUCAGUUUUAUUGCCUCUCAUUGCUGGGUUAUGUCAUUGGCACACAUUUUAGGUGUUUGUUACAGUGGCACCCCGCUCCAAGGUACUCAUUUCUGUACUAUUAAGUAUAGCUAUGCUACGAUUCAGUAAUAAAUAAACCCUAGCAUUAGAUAGAGGGGAAGAGUAAGAGUUAAAACUAGAAAUGUCUGCAGGAUCCAGAUCACAGAGAAGUGAGAAUAAGAUGUGAUGUAGGAUCUUAAUCUGGCAGGGGCAUGCAGGCAUGAAGCACGGAGAAAUAGAGGCAGAGUAACAAUUUAGGAGAUGAUUGCUAUAACCUGAGAAAGGAUAUCAAGGGUCUAAACCAAGGUUGUGUGGAAGAAACGGAAAGAAAGGGAGGCAUCUGAGAGAUAUCCUGAAGGAAGAACAUCUGGCUUUGUAGAAAAGUAGUCAAUCAAAGUCAAAGAGGCAGGUCCCAGCUCCAAUUACUCAAUUUACUGGCUGUUAAAUUUCCCUUAUUCUCUGUUGCCUCGCUCUAAGACUGAGAUGUUCAAAUCUGGCCUGUAGAUUUCUAAAGUUUAUUUUGAUAAUCAAAUGAUAUUAGAUACAUGAAAAUGUUUUGUAAACUGUAAAAUGUAAUGGAAAUGUUAGUUAAGUCAUUAAAUAAAAAAUAACUAAAAAUGACUCUAAAGCUUUGUG
Diceros bicornis minor is the source of this 1372-nucleotide long non-coding RNA. RefSeq lists it as uncharacterized. The record is from RefSeq and is a predicted model, not a curated record. The transcript is spliced from 3 exons. NCBI's taxonomy places the organism in Eukaryota, Metazoa, Chordata, Mammalia, Perissodactyla, Rhinocerotidae.